This 245-nucleotide long non-coding RNA is filed under the name Vigna radiata. Its description in RNAcentral is "long non-coding RNA (VRAD_LNC004634)". The record is from RNAcentral. Lineage: Eukaryota; Viridiplantae; Streptophyta; Magnoliopsida; Fabales; Fabaceae.
GGAGAUCUCAUAUUGAUUAGAGAUAAAGCGAUUUUAUAGUAUAUUAGUGGGUGCAAACCUCAUCUUACAAGUCGAUUUUUGUAGGAUUGAGUUAGACUUAAAGUUUUCUUCUUAACAUGGCAUCAAAAUCAUGGUUUAGAGUUUAUCCUAAUGAGAUUUAUUGUUUGUUCGACUUAUUGUAUCACCCACUAUCAGAAAAUUUGUUUUUUAUGUCUAUCAUGUUACCCACUAUCAGACCACCCCUU